Molecule: ribosomal RNA, 254 nt
Filed under: uncultured bacterium
Lineage: Bacteria
Description: partial 16S ribosomal RNA
Rfam family: Bacterial small subunit ribosomal RNA
Source: RNAcentral
UACAGGGGGUGCAAACGUUGCUCGGAAUUAUUGGGCGUAAAGCGCGCGUAGGCGGCUACUUAAGUCGGAUGUGAAAGCCCUUGGCUCAACUGAGGAAGUGCACCCGAAACUGAGUGGCUAGAGUACGAAAGAGGGUCGCGGAAUUCCCGGUGUAGAGGUGAAAUUCGUAGAUAUCGGGAGGAACACCGGUGGCGAAGGCGGCGACCUGGGUCGAUACUGACGCUGAUGCGCGAAAGCGUGGGGAGCAAACAGGG